GAUUAGCCGGUCUGAGAGGGCGAACGGCCACAUUGGAACUGAGAGACGGUCCAAACUACCUACGGAGGCAGCGAUGGGGAAUAUUGCGCAAUGGAGAAGAACUCUGACGCAGCAAUACCGCGUGAGCGAAGAAGGUCUUCGGAUCGUAAAGCUCUGUUAUCAGGGAAGAAGAAAAUGACGGUACCUGAUGAGCAAGUCCCGGCUAACUACGUGCCAGCAGCCGCGGUAAUACGUAGGGGACAAGCGUUGUCCGGAAUCACUGGCGUAAAGGGCGCGCAGGCGGUGAUUUAAGCAGGAUGUGAAAGGCUACGGCUCAACCGUAGACAUGCACCCUGAACUGGGUCACUUGAGUAUUGGAGAGGCAGGCAGAAUUCCUGGUGUAGCGGUGAAAUGCGUAGAUAUCAGGAGGAAUACCGGAG
RNAcentral lists this ribosomal RNA (419 nucleotides) under uncultured bacterium. RNAcentral's name for it is "bacterial SSU rRNA". It matches the Rfam family "Bacterial small subunit ribosomal RNA", at positions 281 to 714 of the family's 1533-position model. The record is from RNAcentral.